Molecule: long non-coding RNA, 1358 nt
Filed under: Rattus norvegicus (Norway rat)
Lineage: Eukaryota; Metazoa; Chordata; Mammalia; Rodentia; Muridae
Description: long non-coding RNA NONRATT023929
Source: RNAcentral
GAGGUUCCAACUGGUUGAAGGACCCAACUCCAGGGUCUACAUCUGAGCCUUACAGGUCCCCGAGAACCAUGCAGUCCCCAGCUCGGUGCCUGAGAGGCAGGAGUUCACCCUGUGCUUCUUUGGCAGCAGGAGCAACAAGAGGACGCCAUCAGGUUUCCAGUCAUCGAGGUUGGUCCUUCUGUGACCGAGGAGGAGGCAGCCUUCAACUGCAUGAAUUCGGGGUGAUGAGACACCUUGGAGACCCUGAUGGGAAGUUUCCAUAUGCCAGAGGGGCACGGCAGAUGCCCUGGGCUGCUACGGCAUCACAUGGCAGGGGAGAUGUUGCCAUGGCCCAGGGUGUAGCAGUUGCUUUGUCCUUCUUAGUGUUAAAUGGGAUCAUCUGCGCCCAUGCAAACGAUCCAAAGUCUGUAUCAGUGACAGUUACCACAGACCCUAUGCCCUACUUCCCAAAUCUUCCAGACAGCCUGUCUAAACCCUAGGCCUUUGACCGUCCUGGAAAUGUUAAAGGCUGCUCAUCCAGAGGGCUGCUGAGCACGGCCUUCUGGGGUCAGGGUGCUUGCGAUGAGACAAGAAUAUGGCAUUGGUGGAUUUUAUUUUGAAGUUUCUGGGGCUGGAAUCUUGCCCAUACCAGGCAAGUGCUUUAUUCCUGAGCUACAUUCCCAAGACUCUUUCCGUUUUUUAUCUUGAGGCAAAGUCACACGGAAUUGUCUGGGCCAACCAUGGACUCCUUCUGUAUCUUGGGCAAGCCUCAAACUUGACGCUUCUACCUCUGCUCUUCAAGUAACACUGUGAUGACCUGCGUGGUCCUCCAGACGGGGCGGGUCAAUGCCUUCUAUUUUCUUUGUGUGUGUGUGUGUGUGUGUGUGUGUGUGUGUGUGUGUGUGCACACGCGUACCUGUUACCCCCUUUUCCCACCGGACCUAGCCCCAGAGAGUUUUCUGCAGGCCCCAGAGAACUAAGUUUUACUCCCUCAGACACAAGUCUGCUGAGGGAUUGAUUAAUCACUGACUCCACACCUCUCCUCAGUGUACCUGACCUGUCAAAGCUGGUCUUCAGUACUUGUUCCUUAGUAGCUAGCCAUCUUGAGCCAGCCCGAGGCUCAUCAAUUCAGCUAGAUCGGCCUACCACUGAGCGUUGGGCAUCCCCUUGGCUCUGCCUUCUCAGCGCUGGGUUUAGGGCACACAGCACUAUGCCAAACUUCUAAAGUGGAUUCUGGGGAUGAGCCCAGUUUCAAGAAUGCAGGUCCUUUCUCAUGCUGUGGAACAGCACUCUUAGUGACCAAACCAUUCCCUUGGCUUCAGAAUGAAUGUCUAAGUUAUUUUCUACUUGUCAUAGGAAAUAAAUAUUUUUGUUACACA